AACUAACGCUGGCGGCGUGCCUAACACAUGCAAGUCGUACGAGAAAGUUGGCUUCGGCCGAUGAGUAAAGUGGCGCACGGGUGAGUAAUGCGUGGAUAAUCUGCCCUUUAGUUGGGAAUAACGUACCGAAAGGUGCGCUAAUACCUGAUAAUACUGCAUAACUACUGUUGUGUAGUCAAAGAAGGCCUCUGUUUACAAGCUUUUGCUGAAGGAUGAGUCCGCGUACCAUUAGCUGGUUGGUGGGGUAAUGGCCUACCAAGGCUACGAUGGUUAGCUGGUCUGAGAGGAUGAUCAGCCACACUGGAACUGAGACACGGUCCAGACUCCUACGGGAGGCAGCAGUGAGGAAUAUUGGUCAAUGGGCGAGAGCCUGAACCAGCCAAGUCGCGUGAAGGAAGAAGGUUCUAUGGAUUGUAAACUUCUUUUGUUAAGGGAAUAAAAGAGUUACGUGUAACUUAUUGUAUGUACUUUACGUAAUAAGGAUCGGCUAACUACCGUGCCAGC
RNAcentral lists this ribosomal RNA (504 nucleotides) under uncultured bacterium. Its description in RNAcentral is "bacterial SSU rRNA". It matches the Rfam family "Bacterial small subunit ribosomal RNA", at positions 29 to 512 of the family's 1533-position model. The record is from RNAcentral.